UUUUAAAUUCUAGUCAUCCUAGUGGGAGGAGUCGCUUUUUGAGGAAACUUCAAAAGCAGGUGGGGCUAGGUGAGGUGCCUCACACCUGUGAUCCCAGCACUUUGGAAGGCCAAAGUCGGAGGAUCGCUUGAGCCCUGGAGUUCGAGGCCAGAUCACUUAAGCCCAGGACUUUGAGGUUGCAGUAAGCCAUGAUCGCGCUACGGCACUCCAGCCUGGGCGAUAGAGCCAGACCCUGUCUCAAGAAAAAAAAAAGAAAAAGAAAAAAAAAAGCAGGUGGCAGAGCUAGCUUGGUGCACCUCUGGGCUCCAGGACUGUCGGGAGUCUGUGUUGGCUUCAUCUCAGUCUGACCCCGGCCACACGAGCAGCUUCAGCCACUUCCUGAUCUGACCUUGGAACUCGGAGUCCCCCUCCCAGUGGUUCCUGCAAAGCCCCAGGGGGACUCGGAGUGGCCUCCUCUUGACAGUCAGUUGUGAGUCAGCAAUUUCCUCUCAUGAUUAAGACGGUCCCAGGGGAGCUUUGGUCACUUGGAACCUAAAGACACUUGACUGAUCCCAUUGGUCCUCCUGAGUGGCUCAGAGUCUGGGAGGCCGCCAGGGCCCAGGUCACACUUCCUGGCCUGACCAGACCAAUGAGCCCAUCGCCUGGAAUCUGCAAGCCCCUCCGUUGAGCUGGGAGCCCUUCGAGGGACUCCUGCUUGCAUUAAACCUAUACCAGUGCUUUCUGAGUUUCACUCUCCCCCCUGGGGUGUGAUGAUGAUACCGCCCAUCCCUGAGGGGCCUGUGACAAACGCUACCCCUUUAUACAUCCUGGCUCUGAUAUGAACAGCCUUUUUCUUGGGUCCCUGAACACACUUUGUCACUGCUGGGGCUUAACAAAGCCUUCCUGAACGCCCAGGAGAGCAGCAGGGACCUAACAGAGGACUCCAGAGGCUCAGACCCAGCCCCGCACGGCUCCUCCACCCCAAAUUCAGCCCCGGGGUCUUGUUCACCAACUGCUGGGUCAGAGGUCCUGAUUUCCAUGUCUACUUGCUGCUGGGUGACAGGGCAGCUUUCCCUGGCCCCUGCCAGGGGGUCCCCAACCAGGCAUCUCACUGAUUUCAUGGACCUGCCCCAGAGAGGGGCACCCAGUUCUGUAGUACCCAUCCCCCCAGGGCUGCCCCCACUUCCAGUUUUCCAGGGGGUAGCACUGUGAUGUCACCCCUAGUGAGGGCCGUUUUGUUCCUGUCACACUCCCCACUACCACAACAACUAGGCCCUAUCCUUGAGGGAUGCAGGCUGCACAGAGAAGCAGAGAAACAAGAGAAGGGAAACCUUAGCUGUGGAGCUUCCAAAGUCCAGGUCCUACCACAUGCAGUACAUUUGGAACGCUCUCUGCACAGCAUGUGUCUCCCCCUCAGCAUGGACAGAUGAGGUUAAACAUUGUCUAGCUGUGGAGGACAGAAGAAUAUAAGGAACUAAGGGAGAGGGCUCUCCUGGGCUGGGUGGGGGUACGCCUGGGGAAGGAUAAGCCCCCAGGGGCAGCUGCAGCUCUGAUCUCGGGAUUGGUGGGGCUGAACCUCAUUUCCUGGGAGGGGCAAGGUCCCCAGGUGCCCUGUGCCCUGAGAAGGCCAGGAGACUCUAGACAGGGAGUGAGCGGUGGUGGCUCAACAGAGGGCCUGUGACAGCCCAGCGAGCUCCCCAGCCCCAGUGCCCUGUAGGGAGCGGCCAAGUUCUCAAGGAGGGCCUGGAAGGGAGUCCCAGUUGUGACAAGAGGAGGCCACAGCCAAAACUUGCUUGGCCCUUACAAGCAGAGACCAGAUGGGGACGCAGACAGCUCAUCGGCUGCCAACUCGGAACAGAGAUGACAGCCAAGAACCACAUGUCCCAGUGUAUGUCUUGGGGGUGCCAGCAGGGAUGACAUCGACCGAUGACCCAUCUGCCACCUCCCCUGAUGUUUAUGAUGUCACCCAUAUUUGCUGGGAUCUGUGGGGUCCAAGAGAUGGGGGAGGGGGCCCUGAAUCUUCUGAGUUGA
RNAcentral lists this long non-coding RNA (2010 nucleotides) under Homo sapiens (human). Its description in RNAcentral is "non-protein coding lnc-TSPAN17-1:1". The record is from RNAcentral. Lineage: Eukaryota; Metazoa; Chordata; Mammalia; Primates; Hominidae.